AUUGAACGCUGGCGGCAGGCCUAACACAUGCAAGUCGAGCGGAAACGAUCCUAGCUUGCUAGGAGGCGUCGAGCGGCGGACGGGUGAGUAACGCGUGAGAAUCUACCCAUGAGUCGGGGGACAACCCGGGGAAACUCGGGCUAAUACCGCAUACGCCCUACGGGGUAAAGCAGGGGACCUUCGGGCCUUGCGCUGAUGGAUGAGCUCGCGUCGGAUUAGCUUGUUGGUGAGGUAAAGGCUCACCAAGGCGACGAUCCGUAGCUGGUCUGAGAGGAUGAUCAGCCACACCGGGACUGAGACACGGCCCGGACUCCUACGGGAGGCAGCAGUGGGGAAUCUUGGACAAUGGGGGCAACCCUGAUCCAGCCAUGCCGCGUGUGUGAAGAAGGCCUUCGGGUUGUAAAGCACUUUCAGCAGGGAGGAAGGCUUACCCCUAAUACGGGUGAGUACUUGACGUUACCUGCAGAAGAAGCACCGGCUAAUUUCGUG
This 489-nucleotide ribosomal RNA is filed under the name uncultured bacterium. RNAcentral describes it as "bacterial SSU rRNA". It matches the Rfam family "Bacterial small subunit ribosomal RNA", at positions 29 to 507 of the family's 1533-position model. The record is from RNAcentral.